CCUACGGGAGGCAGCAGUGAGGAAUAUUGGUCAAUGGGCGCGAGCCUGAACCAGCCAAGUAGCGUGAAGGAUGACGGCCCUACGGGUUGUAAACUUCUUUUAUCAGGGAAUAAAGUGAGGCACGUGUGCCUCUUUGUGUGUAUUCUAUGAAUAAGGAUCGGCUAACUCCGUGCCAGCAGCCGCGGUAAUACGGAGGAUGCGAGCGUUAUCCGGAUUUAUUGGGUUUAAAGGGUGCGCAGAGGGGAUGUUAAGUCAGGGGUGAAAGUUUGCGGCUCAACCGCCGAAUUGCAAUUGAAACUGGAGGCCUUGAGUGCACGUGAGGUAGGCGGAAUUCGUGGUGUAGCGGUGAAAUGCUUAGAUAUCACGAAGAACUCCGAUUGCGAAGGCAGCCUA
RNAcentral lists this ribosomal RNA (393 nucleotides) under uncultured bacterium. RNAcentral describes it as "partial 16S ribosomal RNA". It matches the Rfam family "Bacterial small subunit ribosomal RNA", at positions 338 to 728 of the family's 1533-position model. The record is from RNAcentral.